AUAUUUUUGCAAAAAAAAAGGUUCUUGCAAAAAAAAAGGUUCUUCCAGGGGGAGGCUAACUCAUUGCACUCUGGGUGUGCUGAUAUCUGCAAUGUCCCCAAAUGUGGGAUACUGGACUGCAUAAUUUUUUGUAGUGGGGGACUGUGUUCAUGCUUUUCCCUG
Molecule: small nuclear RNA, 162 nt
Organism: Carcharodon carcharias (great white shark)
Lineage: Eukaryota; Metazoa; Chordata; Chondrichthyes; Lamniformes; Lamnidae
Product: U1 spliceosomal RNA
Exons: 1
Source: RefSeq, a predicted model, not a curated record